RNAcentral lists this unclassified non-coding RNA (377 nucleotides) under uncultured Actinomycetes bacterium. RNAcentral's name for it is "uncultured actinobacterium contains 16S-23S intergenic spacer region". The record is from RNAcentral. Lineage: Bacteria; Bacillati; Actinomycetota; Actinomycetes.
UCCGAGUUGACCCCGGCAGUCUCCUACGAGUCCCCGGCAUAACCCGCUGGCAACAUAGGACAAGGGUUGCGCUCGUUGCGGGACUUAACCCAACAUCUCACGACACGAGCUGACGACAGCCAUGCACCACCUGCACACAGGCCACAAGGGAACGACUAUCUCUAGCCGCGUCCUGUGCAUGUCAAACCCAGGUAAGGUUUUUCGCGUUGCAUCGAAUUAAUCCACAUAAUCCACCGCUUGUGCGGAUCCCCGUCAAUUCCUUUGAGUUUUAACCUUGCGACCGUACUCCCCAGGCGGGGCACUUAAUGCGUUAGCUGCGGCACCCAGGGGGUCAAUACCCCGGACACCUAGUGCCCAUCGUUUACAGCGUGGACUAC